GGCAGGUUCUCAUAGCGGCAAUUGAGGCUGACUGUAAAUCAGCUCCUUCGGGUUCGUGGGUUCGAGUCCCACACCUGCCAC
RNAcentral lists this transfer RNA (81 nucleotides) under compost metagenome. Its description in RNAcentral is "tRNA-Tyr". It matches the Rfam family "tRNA". From Rfam's summary of the family: Transfer RNA (tRNA) molecules are approximately 80 nucleotides in length. The record is from RNAcentral.